RNA transcript from Spinacia oleracea (spinach), 2992 nucleotides. RefSeq lists it as uncharacterized. NCBI's taxonomy places the organism in Eukaryota, Viridiplantae, Streptophyta, Magnoliopsida, Caryophyllales, Amaranthaceae. The record is from RefSeq and is a predicted model, not a curated record. The transcript has 2 exons.
UCGAAAAAAUAAUUUUUGUUAUAGAUAUUAUGUACUUCGUAAUUUUUUUUAAUAACGUUAUGACAUCAUCUUCCGGUGAUUUUUGCCGGAAAAUGAUUUAGGGUUGUAAUUUAAAAUAGAUGUACAAGUUUAAGGUUGUAAUUGGCAAAAUUAGAAAUGUGAGGUUGUAAUUGGCAAAUAGAGAACUUUAUUAGGUUAUAUUUGGAAAAUUUGUCUUUUUUAAUAAACUAAUAAAUUCAUGUUAUGUUAAUUAAUGUCACGUUACUUCAUUAAGUAAAUUUUGUAUACUUAGAUAGGACUAUAUGGUUUAUAAGGGUUUAUUUGUAAUUAUUAUCAAUUCAAAUUUGACUUUAUACCUUAAUUUUUAUUUGCAACCAUUCUAUACAUCCCGUGCUUAUGCACGGGCACAUUCUAGUUCUAAGUAGUGAUCAUGCACAAUAUACGAAGAAGUAUAAUGCCCAACGGUUAUUCUAAGUAUCAUGCACAUAUAGUUAAUCAAAUCGAAACUAAUUUGAUAACAAAGUCAACCACCAUAUACAAAUUAUCUUGGUUACUAUGUUGGUUACCAGUAAAAAUAAUGCCAUGGAAAUUCUCUAACCUUUAAAAAGUUGGAGUUCUGUACUGUUCCUUAUGAACAGUGACUUCACACGUACCCAUUCGCACGUAUCAAUGCCUAAAUUUUCUUCUCUGCUUCCCCGGUUAGCAAUAUCUCGAAUGUAGCCCAAAAUGAUAACACCAGUUACACCACUACUAGAAGCCCAAACAUUAGAAUGUUCACAGUUUAUCAACCCUUUCUCUCUCCGGGUUUUAGCUACACAACUGCGCAACUUCGGCAUUUCCAUUCUUUCCAGUUCUCCGCCUUUCAACCACCACGGUAAGCUACUAAGCUCUCUCUCUUUCUCUCUCGUCUUUCUCCGCACUGAUUUGUUCUUAAUUUCAUUCGCGUUAUUGGGAUUUGAUCUCUAUUAAUCUGUUUUCUUUUUCUGCGAAUUUAUCUGCUGCAAUUUUUAACUUCAACUUGCCUUUUUCCUUUUUGAUUUUCUUGUUAAGGUUUAGUUUUUGCUCAUAGAAUUUCUCUGAAUUUGCGAAUAGUGAUAUAUGAUGUCUGUAGAAUCAUUUGUUCAGAAUCGAGCAUUGAUGUAAUUUAUCUUAAUAAUUACAUUUUGUAUGAUUAAUUUAGAUUUUGAAUUUUUGAACGAAAUUCUUCUGUAUUGUGAAAGUAGAGGGUAGAAUAUGCCUUAUAGGUGAUAUGCUAGCUCCGUUUACUGGUCGGUGGUAUUGUCUAGGGUAUUUGAAAAGUGAGAUUUUUGCUGUGUAGAUGUUAUAAAGUUUAUAAACAUAUUAGGGGUAGUUGUUAUUCUUACUUUCAUCCUUACCUUCAUUAAUUCCACUUUCUUCCUCUUCCUUGGUUUGAUUUGGUGACAAUGACUUGGUCACAAUGACGAUCUCCUAUGACGGUUCAUGUUAGCCGACGUAUUAAGGCUUUGUUGUUGUUGUUGUUGUUGUUGUUGUUGUUGUUGUAUUAGGGGUAGUUCUUCAUAUACAUCCUCAAGAUAUGUUGAUUUCAAACCCUUAAUUUUCAAUUAGGUAGGUCAAGCCAGAUGUGCUACUUGGUUUCUGUAGUUGGUGGUCUCUUGAAUGAAGAGGUGAGUGUAUCAUGAGGUCUCUUUACAUUUUUAUGCAGGACUGAAAUGGAGUGAUGACUAAUGAGUAAAUACUAAUUUAUAUGGAUUAUGUAUACUAUUUGAAAGAUUAUGAAACCGUUUGUUGGGGAUCUUGAUUCUUUGAUUAGUAUACCGUUUUAAAAAGGGGCUUGAAUUUGGGACUUAACAGUUUCAUGUGUGGAAUAUUUAGAUUAUCUUUAGUUAUAUGAUUAUGCUUCAUGUUAAUCAGAUGACGUUUUAAUUACUUAUGUUACAUCUGAUAGUUAGGAAGGCAUUUCCCCUCUCGAAAAUAUAUUUUAUCAUCCUGUGUAUAUUUAAAAUACUAAGCGUAUUUUUUUAGGUGGUAAAAUACAAGUUUUAAUUUUUAGGUGGUAAUAUUUUUUCAAAUUUUUUAGGCGGUAAAAAACAAUUUGACUAUAAAUUUAAUUGAGCUCUUCAAACAAUGUCUGAAAAUGGAUAUCCGGACUAUUUGGAUUGGGAUUUGGGAAAUAACAUUGGACUGUGUCGGAUUUCCGGUUUGGCCAGCCCAACGCAAAGCUUAGGUUAUUGCCUUGUUGGACACGAUAUCCCAAAAGGGGUUUGGAAGGAUUCUGCGGGUAUAUGGAAAUGACCCAGAAAGAGAUUUCUGAAGGGUUUCCGAUAAUUGGCCAUCAAAGUGUUUUCAUUGAACUUUAGCAAAUACUCGAAACUUCACGACGGAAACAAAGAACAUCAUUUCAAGCUAACUCUGAAGAUAAAUCCAAAGCUGAAUUUCUUUGUCAUAAAUUCUUCAUAAAAAUGCAUCAAACAGAAAAGCACAAUCUCCGCCUCACCACUACCAUAUGGUAGUGAGGGGUGUGCCACAAUCGGCUCGGACAUCCUUCGGUAAGGGUGGCUUGGUGGGGGAUACAGACAUGAGUGGGUUAUGGGCUCAGAUUGGCCUUUGAAUGUCCCACAUACGUUGAUACAACUAUACCUAUAAGUCUAUAGCCAAUCCCUAAAAAUACGUGGGAGAGAAAAAGAGAGAGGGCAUGUCUUCUGUAAGGCAAUAGAGGUAGUUGGCUUUUACGAAUGCAGCGGCUUUUUUUCCAUUUUAAUUCAUCUUUGGGAGCAACCCUGUGCUUGUUUUGAGUAGCCGAGUACAUUUUGAGGCGAUCGGUUCAUUGUAAAGAAACCAAAAACUUUGAUCUCGAAGUAUAUAUCGCAUGAAGUGCUUUUGGAUAAAGUUGUUUAUUGUUGGUACUUGAUCACAUAUUGUUAUCAGUCUAUGAUUGCGAAACAUCUUUGUGUUAAAUUUCUUAUCUUGUGAUGGAAAUGAUAAUUUUUACUUGAAAACCAUGUCGACGAAA